UACGGAGGGUGCAAGCGUUGCUCGGAAUUAUUGGGCGUAAAGGGUAGGUAGGUGGUCUUAUUUGUCAGAGGUGAAAGCCUUGGGCUUAACCCGAGAAGUGCCUCUGAAACGGUAAGACUGGAGUCCUGGAGAGGGUCGUGGAAUUCCCGGUGUAGCGGUGAAAUGCGUAGAGAUCGGGAGGAACACCAGAGGCGAAGGCGGCGACCUGGACAGGUACUGACACUCAACUACGAAAGCGUGGGGAGCAAACAGG
RNAcentral lists this ribosomal RNA (253 nucleotides) under uncultured bacterium. RNAcentral's name for it is "partial 16S ribosomal RNA". It matches the Rfam family "Bacterial small subunit ribosomal RNA", at positions 524 to 776 of the family's 1533-position model. The record is from RNAcentral.